GCCUCCGUGGUCCAGUGGUUUAGGGCAUCAAGCUGUUAUUCUCAUAACAACGACUUGAGAGUCGAUAGUUCGAUCCUAUCCGGGGGCG
Molecule: non-coding RNA, 88 nt
Organism: Talaromyces proteolyticus
Lineage: Eukaryota; Fungi; Ascomycota; Eurotiomycetes; Eurotiales; Trichocomaceae
Source: the annotation of a RefSeq genome assembly